Molecule: ribosomal RNA, 279 nt
Filed under: uncultured bacterium
Lineage: Bacteria
Description: partial 16S ribosomal RNA
Rfam family: Bacterial small subunit ribosomal RNA
Source: RNAcentral
UGCCAGCCGCCGCGGUAAUACAGAGGGUGCAAACGUUGUUCGGAAUCACUGGGCAUAAAGCGCACGUAGGCGGCCUGCUAAGUGUGGAGUGAAAGCCCACGGCUCAACCGUGGAACUGCUCUGCAUACUGGCAAGCUCGAGGACGGUAGGGGAUAGCGGAACUCUUGGUGGAGCGGUGAAAUGCGUAGAUAUCAAGAGGAACACCGAUGGCGAAGGCAGCUAUCUGGUCCGUUUCUGACGCUGAGGUGCGAAAGCUAGGGUAGCGAACGGGAUUAGAUA